AUGCGCUAUGAUGAGCGGUACACACCUUAUGUUAGGGAGGCGGGACUUCUCCCUUUCAUUGAGUUGGUCCGCCGGUCGACGCCACCCAACAAUGUUGCAGCACUCACCGCGCUUAUUGAUCAUUGGAGGCCGGAGACACACACUUUCCAUCUUCGGACCGGGGAGAUGACCGUGACGCUGCAGGAUAUUGCUAUGAUCACCGGUCUUCCUAUCGAUGGCAAUCCUUUAUGUAUGAACACCGAUUCUGAAGGGUGGCGCGCGCAGAUGCAAGCCCUUAUCGGUAUGGUUCCUCCGGAGCCUCGGGAGCCAGAAGCAGAACAUAAGAAGAAGGAAAGAGUCGCAGCGGGCGCUACUUUCACGUGGAUAUCAUCGAACUUCUGUCAUUGCCCCGAUGAUGCUAAUGAGGACAUGGUGAAGACAUAUGCUCGUGUCUACAUGUGGUACGUGAUAUCGAGGACAAUGUUUGCUGAUGGCACAGGCAAGAAUGCUCCAUGGAUGUGGCUGAAGGCGUUGACCGUCUUCGAUAGCAAAUGGAGUUGGGGUUCAGCGACACUAGCUUACUUGUAUCGACAGGUAUGA
This 579-nucleotide ribosomal RNA is filed under the name Triticum aestivum (bread wheat). RNAcentral describes it as "partial small subunit ribosomal RNA". Lineage: Eukaryota; Viridiplantae; Streptophyta; Magnoliopsida; Poales; Poaceae. The record is from RNAcentral.